Unclassified non-coding RNA from Macaca mulatta (Rhesus monkey), 148 nucleotides. It matches the Rfam family "Metazoan signal recognition particle RNA". Rfam says of the family: The signal recognition particle (SRP) is a universally conserved ribonucleoprotein. It is involved in the co-translational targeting of proteins to membranes. The eukaryotic SRP consists of a 300-nucleotide 7S RNA and six proteins: SRPs 72, 68, 54, 19, 14, and 9. The record is from Ensembl. NCBI's taxonomy places the organism in Eukaryota, Metazoa, Chordata, Mammalia, Primates, Cercopithecidae.
GCUGGGCGUGGUGGUGCAUGCCUGUGGUCCCAGAUACCUGGGAGGCUGAGGCAGGAGGAUCACUUGAGCCUGGGAGAUUGAGGCUGCAGUGAGCCAUGAUUGUGCCACUGCACUCCAGCUGGGGUGACAGAGUGAGACUCUGUCUCUU